UGGGGAAUAUUGCACAAUGGGCGCAAGCCUGAUGCAGCCAUGCCGCGUGUAUGAAGAAGGCCUUCGGGUUGUAAAGUACUUUCAGCGGGGAGGAAGGGAGUAAAGUUAAUACCUUUGCUCAUUGACGUUACCCGCAGAAGAAGCACCGGCUAACUCCGUGCCAGCAGCCGCGGUAAUACGGAGGGUGCAAGCGUUAAUCGGAAUUACUGGGCGUAAAGCGCACGCAGGCGGUUUGUUAAGUCAGAUGUGAAAUCCCCGGGCUCAACCUGGGAACUGCAUCUGAUACUGGCAAGCUUGAGUCUCGUAGAGGGGGGUAGAAUUCCAGGUGUAGCGGUGAAAUGCGUAGGGAUCUGGAGGAAUACCGGUGGCGAAGGCGGCCCCCUGGACGAAGACUGACGCUCAGGUGCGAAAGCGUGGGGGGCAAACAGG
This 429-nucleotide ribosomal RNA is filed under the name Chloroflexota bacterium. RNAcentral describes it as "Chloroflexi bacterium partial 16S ribosomal RNA". It matches the Rfam family "Bacterial small subunit ribosomal RNA", at positions 355 to 776 of the family's 1533-position model. Lineage: Bacteria; Bacillati; Chloroflexota. The record is from RNAcentral.